AGUCAAGUCUACGGUAGUGCAACGUCUACGCUGUCUUUAGACCAUUACGUCUUUUCAUUGGCCCGGAGUCUACGGUGAGCGUAGACACUAUAGACUCGGCCCAAUAGGAGCACCGAAUCCCACUGUAGACGACCAAUCGUCUGGUCGACGGAAGUUGCGUCACCAAAACAACAACACGCAGCGGACCAGCGAAGAAGCCGGCAAGUCCGCUAUUCACUCAUUCAUGGAAACUGGCAUUUCUUUUAUGUUUACGUCUUGGUAUGGCGACACCAACGAUUCGGCUAGUUAAUCCAGAUGCCCCUGCACAUCGUCAGCAGGCUCUACUUAUGGCAACCAAAGAGGCACGUUACUACCGGGUGAGAAGUAUGGUCUUCCCCAAACCUCCACAGGAGCUGCUCAGCCAAGUCACUGCCUUGACUCAUGCAGAGAAGCUUCUUCAAACCGAGGGUAUCCACGCGCCUUCACGUCAGCAGUGCCUGGGAAAGCUGGUGGUGCCAUUUGGACAAUAUGAACAUGCACCGUUUCGGUGGCUCGUUGCAAACGAUGUGGGAUAUAUGAAGUACAUACUUGACAGGCACAGAACAGAGGUUACAAAUUCACAAAGAAAGGGAGAGAUAGGGAACCAGUGGGUGAAGGAUUACCUGACAGAAUAUGCAGAAAGCUUCCCUCAAGUCUCCGUAGUCCUCGAGGCCAACAUUGACAGGUGCAUCUAUGGUCAGAAAGGGUUUGAAGAUCACACCUUUCAAGAGAUGUGGGAAUUAUAUUGUCAGUACAGCAGCCAAAAGGACAGACCUGAGAAGUUCAGUGAUGAGCAGAGGGAGGUCAUUCAGAAGGCACACAGUUCUGUGAAGAGGUGGUUGAACACACCAGUGACGCACAUCACAAGCACCCAAAUGAAGAGGUUCAGAAAAUAUAUAUAUGACAAGGAACAACAACGGCUGACAAGUACCCCCAGGUGUGAUCCUUCGUUGUGGCCAGGUGAUGAUGCUGAACUGAUAGCUGCAUCCCAGUCUGUGGAAGAUUCACUGAAGUCCCAACACUCCUUGUCUGCAAGUCAACCUUUAAAGCAACGGCUGACAAGCAGAGGUGUUUCCUCCUCCCAGACGUCUGGAACUCAGGAGAACUCAGCUCCCCUGUCCAAGGAGUUUGCGAACACUGUACAGUCACCACAUCAAAAUAAAUCUACUGUGCAGCCCAAACAUCGUGAGUCCAUAGAGGCUGCCAUACAGUCCAAAAAACUUGACACUGUUGGAUUCACUGAGUCAUCUGCAUCCCAGGGUCAUGAUCAUACAACACAAUUACCGUUGAGUCAUUCACCUGUGGAGCUAGAGGGAUGGGUGCGUCCCUGGGAAAAUCCUAAUGGUAUCCCAUCUGCUGACAUUUCCUGGCUUAAAGAGGACACUAAAAGAGGGCUGUUUACCCCUGUUCAGACAUACAAGGAUGUUACUGGUGUGUUAAAGAGGCGACGGGUGAUUAAAUCAGAUCGCAUGUGGUUUUACCCACCAGAACCUCCUGGCUAUGUCAGGGGUGCUGUGCCCAGUGUACAGCUCUUUUUUCGCAGCCGUGUCUUUUUGUGGCGUCCUGUUGGGGUAUGGAAGUACUCCCUGAAGUGUCCUCGAGCUGACGAGUGUGUGGGUAAAGGACAAAAUGUGCACCUAUAUAAGUCUGGCUAUCACCACCGGGUACGUCACAUCUGUGACGUGUCCAACUGGUACACGAUGCUUACUGAGGUCCUAUGCUGCGGACCAUGUACAAAGGCGGGCAGAAGUGGCGGAGGAGAAAAAGUGGGUUGGUGGCUUGCCUGGGACUCAGCAAUUUUAUCACAACUCAGCGAGGGACACCAAGCCAUAUUCCCAGCCAUCCUGACUAACAAACGUGGUGUGGAUAAGAAUGUUGUACGCUUUCUGAGAGACAGAACCGAAGGAAACACUAUGGUCAAGCUGUGGCGGCAGAUACAGGAGAAUCACAUGGAGGAGUACCUUCAGCGGAAGGACCUGUACACCACACUCCUAAUGACUUUUGCGGAGCCCGGGGGUGUCAUCUCAGCCUUACGGCACACAUUCCAGGCGCCACUUCCUCCAAGAGAGCUUCCCUCUGCAUGGCUGUUGUGCCACGCUUUCCUGCUGGCAGAGGCCAGCAAUGUGAGGGAUUACCGAAGCCAGAUUCUGUCCACUUUUGGCACUGUGCUGAAAAUGGAUUCCACCAAAAAAGUGGUGAAAACGCUGUCUGGGGAAGGUCAAGGCUCAGCAGAAUGGUUCACCAGUAUCGGAAAUGAGCACUCACAAAUAGUUAAAUUUGUGCUGACCUGCGAGGAGUCCUUUGACAAGCUGCAGCCAAUGUGCCGUGGAGUCAUGGAGAGGUUUCACUUGGCCAAUCAGCCUGUUCCCAAAAUUUUGUAUAUGGACCGUGGGUGUUGCCGUGCACAGGGACCAUCAGUAGUAGAGGCCUUGUUUCAGCCUUGGGUGGACAGUGGGAUGCUUGUGCAUCUGGACAUCUUUCACUGGAUCCACCGGUUUGAUGCAGCCAUCCGGACAGAGUCUCAUGCAAAGUACUCUGCAUUUAAGUCUGCAGUAGCUGGGGCGGGGCUGGCUUACAACCGCACAGACCUUGAGCUGCUUAUAAGGGCCGUCAGAGCAAAGAACCCAGUAAAAAUGCAGUCUGUGUCCGAUGAGGACGUUGUCCGCCUUUACAUUUCCAGGGAGCAGUUAAAACACCAUCUGCGCAGGGUCACACUUGGGGUUCAGGAAACGUUUUGGCUCAUCCAAUUGGUUAUCGAGGAGCUGAAAGGUCCAGCUGGGCUGGAUGAGAGGGGAGUGACUCUCUUCAAAACACCUGGGGCCAUUGAUGAGAUGUGGGCAGCACAGCAGCGACACCUGGAAUGCAUUCAGGACCCACCAGACAUGAGCAUGUAUAGGGUGGCUCAUACCACAACAAUAAACAACGUGGAUGUCCCCUAUUACAAGUGUCUGUGUGGAAGCAAUAGCCUGGAAGGGUUCCACAAAUUACUUCCUAACAUGAUUCCAGGUCCCCACUGCGAACCUGUAGAAGUAAACUUCCGUGGCCCAGCUGAUCUCACAUCAAAUGAAUUGCUCGGGCUGGAGUACUUGUUCAGCCAAAGCACUGGAGAGUCUGGAACUUUCUCUCUGGAGGGCAUCGUCAGUGAUGGACCUGGUCCUGAGGAGGAGGUGGUUCAGCCUGGGCAACCCAAACCAGAUGAUCGCGAUGAAGCAUACCAGAGUGACGAAGAGGCACGCGACACUGUAUUGGACACUGUCCUUCCCCACAUUACACUCACCAAUGAUGAGACUUCCACAGUUCACCCUCCAGCCUUUGAAGAUGCCUGCAGUUCAAACCCCCUUCCUGGAUUUGAAAAGCUGGAAAUGUUCUGCUCUGUGCUUGUGGAGAUUAGCCUGAUAGAGGACAAGCUAUCACUUACCACUGAGCAGAGGAACAAGGUCCUCCAAACCUGGAAUAGCGUGGAGGAGCAUGACAAGCAGCCACAAAAGUUUAACCAGCUGUACAAGACCCACCGGGGCAACACCCUCUACUGCCGCACUAAAAGGGAUGACCUUGUUGAUGCUGCUCUUAUACAGGAGAGACUUGCUGAUGCCAGUCUCCCAGCCUCAGCCACCUCUUCCACCUGUGCCACUACCACCAGCACUUGGAAAGACCCCCGCAACCUCUACCAUCACCAGACCUGUGUCUUCAGUGGCUGCUUCUACAUCAACCUCUGAGACUGUUCGGCCCCCCAUACUGCAAAAAAAA
Long non-coding RNA from Oreochromis niloticus (Nile tilapia), 3765 nucleotides. RefSeq lists it as uncharacterized. The record is from RefSeq and is a predicted model, not a curated record. NCBI's taxonomy places the organism in Eukaryota, Metazoa, Chordata, Actinopteri, Cichliformes, Cichlidae. The transcript is spliced from 14 exons.